Molecule: microRNA, 20 nt
Filed under: Monodelphis domestica (gray short-tailed opossum)
Lineage: Eukaryota; Metazoa; Chordata; Mammalia; Didelphimorphia; Didelphidae
Description: mdo-miR-1540a
Source: miRBase by way of RNAcentral
UGAUUCCAUAGAGCGCAUGU